ACAGCAUUCGGACCGUCGGUCUACCGAGCAAUAUCACAAGCUCAGUGGAUGAUCUUCCUUUCGUAAA
RNAcentral lists this microRNA precursor (67 nucleotides) under Bombyx mori (domestic silkworm). Its description in RNAcentral is "mir-2774 microRNA precursor family". It matches the Rfam family "mir-2774 microRNA precursor family". Lineage: Eukaryota; Metazoa; Arthropoda; Insecta; Lepidoptera; Bombycidae. The record is from Rfam by way of RNAcentral.